This 858-nucleotide ribosomal RNA is filed under the name uncultured bacterium. Its description in RNAcentral is "bacterial SSU rRNA". It matches the Rfam family "Bacterial small subunit ribosomal RNA", at positions 1 to 856 of the family's 1533-position model. The record is from RNAcentral.
UUAGAGUUUGAUCAUGGCUCAGAACGAACGCUGGCGGCGUGGAUUAGGCAUGCAAGUCGUGCGUGAAAGGGGAGCAAUCUCCGAGUAAAGCGGCGAACUGGUGAGUAACAGGUGGGUAACGUGCCCUGAAGUGGGGGAUAACACCGGGAAACCGGUGCUAAUACCGCAUGUGGCGUCAAGGACUCUGGUCCCUGCCGCUAAAGCAGCAGUGCGCUUCAGGAUCGGCCCGUCCCCGAUUAGCUUGUUGGUGAGGUAAUGGCUCACCAAGGCGACGAUCGGUAGCUGGUCUGAGAGGAUGGUCAGCCACACUGGAACUGAGAUACGGUCCAGACUCCUACGGGGGGCAGCAGUCUAGAGGCUUCGUCAAUGGGGGCAACCCUGAACGAGCGACGCCGCGUGUGGGAUUGAAGGCCUUCGGGUCGUAAACCACUGUCAUUGGGGAAGAAUGCCCGGAUGGCGAAUCCGGGAGCGACGGUACCCAGGGAGGAAGCCCCGGCUAACUCCGUGCCAGCAGCCGCGGUAAUACGGAGGGGGCAAGCGUUGUUCGGAUUUACUGGGCGUAAAGGGUGUGUAGGCGGCUGGAUAAGUCUGGCGUGAAAUCUUCACCGCUUAACGGGAAGGGGUCGCUGGAAACUGUUCAGCUUGAGUAUGGUAGAGGCAAGCGGAAUUCCUGGUGUAGCGGUGGAAUGUGUAGAUAUCAGGAAGAACACCGGUGGCGAAGGCGGCUUGCUGGGCCAUCACUGACGCUGAAACACGAAAGCGUGGGGAGCAAACGGGAUUAGAUACCCCGGUAGUCCACGCUGUAAACGGUGCGCACUAGGUGUGGGGGGUAUCGACCCCUCCCGUGCCGACGUUAAU